Molecule: long non-coding RNA, 641 nt
Organism: Poecilia latipinna (sailfin molly)
Lineage: Eukaryota; Metazoa; Chordata; Actinopteri; Cyprinodontiformes; Poeciliidae
Exons: 2
Source: RefSeq, a predicted model, not a curated record
UGGUUACUGUCACCAUAGCAGCUCGGCUCGGCCCCUCAAACACAGGACAGCGGUGUUAUUUAAUAUUUGGCUGCGCGCGAGCAUAGCAUGUUUGUAUCACACAAUCCUGUGACACUUGCUUUUCUCUCUCUCUGUAGCUGGGCCCUCGUGCUCCUCAUACCCCUCACGUGCAGUUGAAUAGCUGUUGCUAUGUUUUCCUCUAUCAGGCAAACAUCGACAGAGGCUGAACUGCUAGUCCAGAGCUCACCUCCCGCCCCGCGGACUCGGACACUUUGGCCGCCGUCGGCGCCAACUGAGAAGCGGCAGCAGAGAUUUCAAGGAGGCUGAUGUGAUGCAAGGCCGGCCCAAACCUUUUUGGGACCCGAAGCAGAUUGUCAGUUUGUGCACCCUAAACAGACAUGUCAACACAAGAUGCUAAGCUACUCUCUACGUAAAGUGAAGCCUGCUGAGAAGAAAAGCACUUGUCAAAACAUCAAUCAGGAGGGAAAUGAACCAACCGCCGUGCCUUCACCCGUGCAAUCAAAGGAAGGUGUGUCUGUUGCUCACCGCCCCUGGAGACGGCCAGGAAAGGUGUAUCCGCUGUAACCGUGGCAACACAAACAGCAUGAUUCAAACACUGAUUAAAAUGUGAGCGAAGAUUA